Molecule: unclassified non-coding RNA, 314 nt
Filed under: plant metagenome
Description: partial contains 5.8S ribosomal RNA, internal transcribed spacer 2, and large subunit ribosomal RNA
Rfam family: 5.8S ribosomal RNA (bases 1-105)
Source: RNAcentral
GAAAUGCGAUAAUUAAUGUGAAUUGCAGAAUUCAGUGAAUCAUCGAGUCUUUGAACGCACAUUGCGCCCCCUGGUAUUCCGGGGGGCAUGCCUGUCCGAGCGUCAUUGCUGCCCUCAAGCACGGCUUGUGUGUUGGGCUUCCGUCCCUGGCAACGGGGACGGGCCCAAAAGGCAGUGGCGGCACCAUGUCUGGUCCUCGAGCGUAUGGGGCUUUGUCACCCGCUCCCGUAGGUCCAGCUGGCAGCUAGCCUCGCAACCAAUUUUUUUAACCAGGUUGACCUCGGAUCAGGUAGGGAUACCCGCUGAACUUAAGC